Dromaius novaehollandiae (emu) is the source of this 903-nucleotide long non-coding RNA. The record is from Ensembl. NCBI's taxonomy places the organism in Eukaryota, Metazoa, Chordata, Aves, Casuariiformes, Dromaiidae.
AUGUGUAUCCUGAAGUAUCUCUGGAUUGGAGGAACCCCUGUGUUACAUACUCAGAAAAGAGGCAUUUUGGAACAGAAGCUACUGUUUUGGUUUCAUAAAGGGCACUGGGAUCCUCACUGUCAAGUAACUGGAUUGAUGAGAGCURUAGUACACAAUACUAUGCACAUGCUCAAGCAGAUACAUAAAUGUGGUAUUGAAGGUGAGAAAGAAGACAAAGCUCUGCGGAUGAGAGAGAGAGAGAGAGACAGACAGACAGACAAGGAUGAGGGUAGCGGAGUGCUCCUCUGRCUCCUGUCUUGUGUGAGUACAUAGCUGUACUGAAGUCUUCCAACAAUUCAACUUGAGUCCCGGUUUCAUGGGUGCAUUUCCAGGAUGGCCUGCUCGGACGGCCCGCGGCGGCGGCGCCUCCGUCCCCUGGGUGCUGCAGCCUCUGAGCAGUUCUGGGGUUUCCGUCCUUGGUGAGGGCUGGUUUCCGACUGCACAACCGCAUUGGAUCCUGUCUCCUUCUGGUGAUGGGAAAACCGCUUGAAGGAGCUACAUGGAGGUUUGAUGCCCAAUGYUCUCUGCUAGUUCAGUUAGCAGAGAACAGGCCUGCGCAUCCUCUCCCUAACCAUGCACCUUGCUCGAGGUGGUGGCAGCUUUUUCCCCACACCGUGCCUUGAACGGAGGGAAGUUCAGCUUGGCGACUGCAGGAUGGGGCUUGGAGAGGUUUUUUGGCAGGAGAGAGUCAUGCUGUGAGCCGGCAGAGCUGGCACCGGCUGCUUUCAGCUGAUUAAUUGAGAGCAUUUUAAUUUGAUUGGGUCGCCUCUCCUGCCCGCUGCCGGGAUCGCUCCUGUCUUGCGUGCCGGAGGGCCUGUGCUGGAUGCGAGUCUGGCAUCCUCCUGCCUGUCCCGAAAAUUAGUG